AAGUCGUAACAAGGUUUCCGUAGGUAGCAUGUUUGCCUGCCGGAAGCCCCCGCAGCGACUCUAAAGAAUUGCGUUAGUCGCCCCCUCGAUUCGGGGCAGGCAACGCCAUCACUCUGCGCUGGAAGUCCCCCAUUCGGGGCCAACCAGCAGCUCCGGAGACCCCUGCGGAGUUCACAGAUCAAACGAUAGCGGCCACCUCGGUGGUUGAGAUAUGGUCGGCCUUUAGCUGUCCCCGGCUGGAGAACUCGCGGAACCUGCGGAAGGAUCAUUACCGAGAGAGGGGGCUUCGCGCUCCCGGGGGCUCCGGCCCCCCAACUCUUCACCCACUGUUUACCUACCUUUGUUGCUUUGACGGGCCACGGGGCCUUCCUGCGCUGGCUUUCGGGCCGGCGAGUGCCCGUCAGAGGCCCAUUAAAUUCCGUUUAAUAAGUGACGUCCGAGUAAAAAUUACAAUAGUAAAAA
RNAcentral lists this unclassified non-coding RNA (462 nucleotides) under plant metagenome. RNAcentral's name for it is "partial contains small subunit ribosomal RNA and internal transcribed spacer 1". The record is from RNAcentral.